AGACCCGAAACCCGGUGAUCUAGCCAUGGGCAGGUUGAAGGUUGGGUAACACUAACUGGAGGACCGAACCGACUAAUGUUGAAAAAUUAGCGGAUGACCUGUGGCUGGGGGUGAAAGGCCAAUCAAACCGGGAGAUAGCUGGUUCUCCCCGAAAGCUAUUUAGGUAGCGCCUCGUGAAUUCAUCUCCGGGGGUAGAGCACUGUUUCGGCUAGGGGGCCAUCCCGGCUUACCAACCCGAUGCAAACUGCGAAUACCGGAGAAUGUUAUCACGGGAGACACACGGCGGGUGCUAACGUCCGUCGUGAAGAGGGAAACAACCCAGACCGCCAGCUAAGGUCCCAAAGUCAUGGUUAAGUGGGAAACGAUGUGGGAAGGCCCAGACAGCCAGGAUGUUGGCUUAGAAGCAGCCAUCAUUUAAAGAAAGCGUAAUAGCUCACUGGUCGAGUCGGCCUGCGCGGAAGAUGUAACGGGGCUAAACCAUGCACCGAAGCUGCGGCAGCGAACGUAUCACCCAAGACAACUUUACGGAGUUGACGAUUGACGGAGCGAAGCGACGUCAAAGCGUUCAUUAAAGUCGAGUUGGCUUAGGGAUACGUUCGUUGGGUAG
This 607-nucleotide ribosomal RNA is filed under the name Salmonella enterica. Its description in RNAcentral is "partial 23S ribosomal RNA". It matches the Rfam family "Bacterial large subunit ribosomal RNA", at positions 711 to 1231 of the family's 2925-position model. Lineage: Bacteria; Pseudomonadati; Pseudomonadota; Gammaproteobacteria; Enterobacterales; Enterobacteriaceae. RNAcentral also lists the same sequence under 2 other names. The record is from RNAcentral.